This 458-nucleotide ribosomal RNA is filed under the name uncultured bacterium. RNAcentral describes it as "bacterial SSU rRNA". It matches the Rfam family "Bacterial small subunit ribosomal RNA", at positions 29 to 507 of the family's 1533-position model. The record is from RNAcentral.
AACGAACGCUGGCGGCAUGCCUAACACAUGCAAGUCGAACGAAGUCUUCGGACUUAGUGGCGCACGGGUGCGUAACGCGUGGGAAUCUGCCCUUGGGUACGGAAUAACUCAGAGAAAUUUGUGCUAAUACCGUAUAAUGUCGUAAGACCAAAGAUUUAUCGCCCAAGGAUGAGCCCGCGUAAGAUUAGCUAGUUGGUAGGGUAAAAGCCUACCAAGGCGACGAUCUUUAGCUGGUCUGAGAGGAUGAUCAGCCACACUGGGACUGAGACACGGUCCAGACUCCUACGGGAGGCAGCAGUAGGGAAUAUUGGACAAUGGGGGCAACCCUGAUCCAGCCAUGCCGCGUGAGUGAAGAAGGCCCUCGGGUUGUAAAGCUCUUUUGUCCGGAAAGAAAAGCAUCUGGUUAAUACCCGGGUGUUCUGACGGUACCGGAAGAAUAAGCACCGGCUAACUUCGUG